This 252-nucleotide ribosomal RNA is filed under the name uncultured bacterium. Its description in RNAcentral is "partial 16S ribosomal RNA". It matches the Rfam family "Bacterial small subunit ribosomal RNA", at positions 524 to 776 of the family's 1533-position model. The record is from RNAcentral.
UACGGAGGAUGCGAGCGUUAUCCGGAUUUAUUGGGUUUAAAGGGUGCGUAGGCGGAAUAUCAAGUCAGCGGUAAAAAUUCGGGGCCCAACCCCGUCGUGCCGUUGAAACUGAUGUUCUUGAGUGGGCGAGAAGUAUGCGGAAUGCGUGGUGUAGCGGUGAAAUGCAUAGAUAUCACGCAGAACUCCGAUUGCGAAGGCAGCAUACCGGCGGCGAUCUGACGCUGAGGCACGAAAGCGUGGGUAUCGAACAGG